CCUACGGGAGGCUGCAGUGGGGAAUAUUGGACAAUGGGGGCAACCCUGAUCCAGCCAUGCCGCGUGUGUGAAGAAGGCCCUCGGGUUGUAAAGCACUUUCAGUGAGGAAGAACGCCUGGUGGUUAAUACCCAUCAGGAAAGACAUCACUCACAGAAGAAGCACCGGCUAACUCCGUGCCAGCAGCCGCGGUAAUACGGAGGGUGCGAGCGUUAAUCGGAAUUACUGGGCGUAAAGCGCGCGUAGGUGGCUUGAUAAGCCGGUUGUGAAAGCCCCGGGCUCAACCUGGGAACGGCAUCGGAACUGUCAAGCUAGAGUGCAGGAGAGGAAGGUAGAAUUCCCGGUGUAGCGGUGAAAUGCGUAGAGAUCGGGAGGAAUACCAGUGGCGAAGGCGGCCUUCUGGACUGACACUGACACUGAGGUGCGAAAGCGUGGGUAGCAAACAGGAUUAGAUACCCGUGUAGUC
Molecule: ribosomal RNA, 464 nt
Filed under: Vreelandella stevensii
Lineage: Bacteria; Pseudomonadati; Pseudomonadota; Gammaproteobacteria; Oceanospirillales; Halomonadaceae
Description: partial 16S ribosomal RNA
Rfam family: Bacterial small subunit ribosomal RNA
Source: RNAcentral